CUACGGGUUGCAGCAGUGGGGAAUAUUGCACAAUGGGCGCAAGCCUGAUGCAGCAACGCCGCGUGAGGGAUGAAGGCCUUCGGGUUGUAAACCUCUUUUAGCAGGGAAGAAGCGAAAGUGACGGUACCUGCAGAAAAAGCACCGGCUAACUACGUGCCAGCAGCCGCGGUAAUACGUAGGGUGCAAGCGUUGUCCGGAAUUAUUGGUCGUAAAGAGCUCGUAGGCGGUUUGUCACGUCUGCUGUGAAAAUCCAAGGCUCAACCUUGGACUUGCAGUGGGUACGGGCAGGCUAGAGUGCGGUAGGGGAGAUGGGAAUUCCUGGUGUAGCGGUGGAAUGCGCAGAUAUCAGGAGGAACACCAAUGGCGAAGGCACAUCUCUGGGCCGUAACUGACGCUGAGGAGCGAAAGCGUGGGGAGCGAACAGGAUUAGAUACCCGUGUAGUC
This 444-nucleotide ribosomal RNA is filed under the name uncultured bacterium. Its description in RNAcentral is "partial 16S ribosomal RNA". It matches the Rfam family "Bacterial small subunit ribosomal RNA", at positions 339 to 795 of the family's 1533-position model. The record is from RNAcentral.